RNAcentral lists this non-coding RNA (177 nucleotides) under Clostridia bacterium. RNAcentral describes it as "6S RNA". It matches the Rfam family "6S / SsrS RNA". From Rfam's summary of the family: E. coli 6S RNA was the first non coding RNA to be sequenced, but its function was unknown until recently. It consists of 184 nucleotides that fold into an extended hairpin structure with a large single-stranded internal bulge. The record is from RNAcentral. Lineage: Bacteria; Bacillati; Bacillota; Clostridia.
AUAACCCUACUAUGCGCGUGGGUGGCUGUGGUUUAGAGCCAACACCAUUGAAAAGGGAGCCUAACUCUGCAUCUGGCUUGUAGGCCCGGUACGGGAAACAAAAAGGUUGCAGGAGGGCACCCACCUGCUGAGAGCAGGUUCGUAAACUCCGGCCGCCACGGCAUUAGUGGGGUUUUA